RNAcentral lists this ribosomal RNA (1716 nucleotides) under Triticum aestivum (bread wheat). Its description in RNAcentral is "partial small subunit ribosomal RNA". Lineage: Eukaryota; Viridiplantae; Streptophyta; Magnoliopsida; Poales; Poaceae. The record is from RNAcentral.
AUGGCGAUCACCGCCCAGGUUCCGGACAUCAUGGGCGAGCGCCAGUCCGGCCAGGAUGUCCGCACCCAGAACGUCUCGGCGUGCCAGGCGGUGGCCAACAUCGUCAAGUCAUCGCUCGGCCCCGUCGGGCUCGACAAGAUGCUGGUGGAUGAUAUUGGUGAUGUCACGAUCACAAAUGACGGAGCCACCAUUCUGAGGAUGUUGGAGGUCGAGCAUCCUGCGGCGAAGGUUCUCGUGGAAUUGGCUGAGCUCCAAGACCGGGAGGUUGGAGAUGGAACUACCUCUGUCGUCAUCAUUGCGGCAGAGUUGCUGAAGAGAGCCAAUGAACUUGUGAGGAAUAAGAUUCACCCGACCUCUAUUAUUAGUGGCUACAGGCUUGCUAUGCGUGAAGCAUGCAAGUAUGUUGAGGAAAAGCUGUCUGUCAAGGUGGAUAAACUUGGAAAAGACUCCCUUAUAAACUGUGCAAAAACUAGCAUGUCCUCGAAACUGAUUACAACGGACGAUAAUUUCUUUGCAAAUCUGGUUGUAGAAGCAGUUCAAGCUGUGAAGACUACAAACUCAAAGGGAGAAGUGAAGUAUCCAAUCAAGAGUAUUAAUAUUUUGAAAGCUCAUGGUAAAAGUGCCAAGGAAAGUUACCUGCUGAAUGGUUAUGCGCUGAACACUGGCCGUGCAGCUCAAGGAAUGCCUACCAGAGUAACCCCUGCUAGAAUUGCUUGUCUUGAUUUCAACCUUCAGAAGACGAAAAUGCAAAUGGGUGUUCAAGUCCUUGUAUCUGAUCCAAGGGAACUGGAGAAGAUCCGUGAGAGAGAAUCUGACAUAACGAAGGAGCGAAUUGAGAAAGUUCUCAAGGCUGGUGCUAAUGUUGUAUUUACCACUAAGGGAAUUGAUGAUAUGUCAUUGAAGUACUUUGUUGAGGCUGGAGCAAUUGCAGUAAGACGUGUGCGUAAGGAGGAUUUGCGCCAUGUUGCCAAGGCAACAGGUGCAACAAUGGUGACUACUUUUGCUGACAUGGAGGGUGAAGAAACAUUUGAUCCAUCAUUCCUUGGACAUGCCGACGAGGUCGUUGAGGAAAGGAUUUCUGAUGAUGAAAUAAUUCUGGUGAAAGGCACAAAGAACACAAGUGCGGUUUCCAUUAUACUCAGAGGAGCAAAUGACUUCAUGCUAGACGAGAUUGAACGGUCUUUGCACGAUGCACUCUGCAUUGUGAAGAGAACUUUGGAAUCCAAUACGUAUCUGCAUAUCUCGUCUGCCAUUUCACAUAAUAGCGCUAGCAUUAGAUCUUCUUUCCUGGUCGGUGAAUAUAGUUCUGUAGUUGCUGGUGGUGGUGCUGUAGAAACUGCAUUAUCUGUGUACCUGGAGAAUCUUGCUACAACUCUUGGAUCCAGGGAACAACUGGCAAUUGCUGAAUUUGCAGAAUCUUUGUUGAUCAUACCAAAGGUCCUUGCUGUUAAUGCCGCAAAAGAUGCAACUGACCUUGUUGCAAAGCUUAGGUCAUGUCAUCAUAAAGCUCAAACAAAUGCUGAUAAGCAGCACUUAUCAAGCAUGGGUCUUGAUCUGACAAAAGGUGUAAUCCGCAACAACCUUGAACAUGGCGUCAUCGAGCCAGCAAUGAGCAAAGUGAAGAUCAUUCAGUUUGCCACAGAAGCAGCCAUUACCAUUGUGAGGAUUGACGACAUGAUCAAGCUUGACAAGGAAGAGUCUGGCCAAGAAGAGUAG